GAUGAACGCUAGCGGCAGGCUUAACACAUGCAAGUCGAGGGGCAGCAUGAAGCGGAGAUUCGUCGAAGCUUUGAUGGCGACCGGCGCAAGGGUGCGUAACGCGUGAGCAACUUGCCCGUUUCAGGGGGAUAACCGGUGGAAACGCCGACUAAUACCCCAUAGCAUCAACUUUAGGCAUCUUUAGUUGAUUAAAGAAUUUCGGAAACGGAUAGGCUCGCGUGACAUUAGCUAGAUGGCGGGUAACGGCCCACCAUGGCGACGAUGUCUAGGGGUUCUGAGAGGAUGACCAGCCACACUGGAACUGAGACACGGUCCAG
This 317-nucleotide ribosomal RNA is filed under the name uncultured bacterium. RNAcentral describes it as "bacterial SSU rRNA". It matches the Rfam family "Bacterial small subunit ribosomal RNA", at positions 28 to 334 of the family's 1533-position model. The record is from RNAcentral.